GAUGAACGCUGGCGGCGUGCCUAAUACAUGCAAGUCGAGCGAACGGACGAGAAGCUUGCUUCUCUGAUGUUAGCGGCGGACGGGUGAGUAACACGUGGAUAACCUACCUAUAAGACUGGGAUAACUUCGGGAAACCGGAGCUAAUACCGGAUAAUAUUUUGAACCGCAUGGUUCAAAAGUGAAAGACGGUCUUGCUGUCACUUAUAGAUGGAUCCGCGCUGCAUUAGCUAGUUGGUAACGUAACGGCUUACCAAGGCAACGAUGCAUAGCCGACCUGAGAGGGUGAUCGGCCACACUGGAACUGAGACACGGUCCAGACUCCUACGGGAGGCAGCAGUAGGGAAUCUUCCGCAAUGGGCGAAAGCCUGACGGAGCAACGCCGCGUGAGUGAUGAAGGUCUUCGGAUCGUAAAACUCUGUUAUUAGGGAAGAACAUAUGUGUAAGUAACUGUGCACAUCUUGACGGUACCUAAUCAGAAAGCCACGGCUAACUACGUG
Molecule: ribosomal RNA, 497 nt
Filed under: uncultured bacterium
Lineage: Bacteria
Description: partial 16S ribosomal RNA
Rfam family: Bacterial small subunit ribosomal RNA
Source: RNAcentral